GACGAACGCUGGCGGCGUGCCUAAUACAUGCAAGUAGAACGCACAGUUUAUACCGUAGCUUGCUACACCAUAAACUGUGAGUUGCGAACGGGUGAGUAACGCGUAGGUAACCUGCCUGGUAGCGGGGGAUAACUAUUGGAAACGAUAGCUAAUACCGCAUAAUAUUGAUUAUUGCAUGAUAAUUGAUUGAAAGAUGCUAUUGCAUCACUACCAGAUGGACCUGCGUUGUAUUAGCUAGUAGGUGAGGUAACGGCUCACCUAGGCGACGAUACAUAGCCGACCUGAGAGGGUGAUCGGCCACACUGGGACUGAGACACGGCCCAGACUCCUACGGGAGGCAGCAGUAGGGAAUCUUCGGCAAUGGACGAAAGUCUGACCGAGCAACGCCGCGUGAGUGAAGAAGGUUUUCGGAUCGUAAAGCUCUGUUGUAAGAGAAGAACGGGUGUGAGGGUGGAAAGUUCACACUGUGACGGUAUCUUACCAGAAAGGGACGGCUAACUACGUG
RNAcentral lists this ribosomal RNA (505 nucleotides) under uncultured bacterium. RNAcentral describes it as "partial 16S ribosomal RNA". It matches the Rfam family "Bacterial small subunit ribosomal RNA", at positions 28 to 507 of the family's 1533-position model. The record is from RNAcentral.